RNAcentral lists this ribosomal RNA (253 nucleotides) under uncultured bacterium. RNAcentral's name for it is "partial 16S ribosomal RNA". It matches the Rfam family "Bacterial small subunit ribosomal RNA", at positions 524 to 776 of the family's 1533-position model. The record is from RNAcentral.
UACGAAGGGGGCGAGCGUUGCUCGGAAUGACUGGGCGUAAAGGGCGCGUAGGCGGUAUUGACAGUUAGACGUGAAAUUCCUGGGCUCAACCUGGGGGCUGCGUUUGAUACGUCGGGACUGGAGUGCGGAAGAGGGGCGUGGAAUUCCCAGUGUAGAGGUGAAAUUCGUAGAUAUUGGGAAGAACACCGGUGGCGAAGGCGGCGACCUGGUCUGUGACUGACGCUGAGGCGCGAAAGCGUUGGGAGCAAACAGG